GCCUAUGAUGACCCAAUCCAACUUGUUUAGGUGUUGUGGAGCCAAGCUCCUGAUAAAGGAGGAACCUACUUGGCGAAGCAAUAUUUCAUAUGACAGUAACGGAUUUGACUGAGGC
Non-coding RNA from Morus notabilis, 115 nucleotides. NCBI's taxonomy places the organism in Eukaryota, Viridiplantae, Streptophyta, Magnoliopsida, Rosales, Moraceae. The record is from Rfam.